UCAUGCUGGUCAUCACGCCCUGUGUCACACCCUGGGACGCAUCUGGGUCCCCACCCCGUGUGGAUGCCCUGAGCACAGGGCCCUUCCAGGGGUCAGCCAGCCUCUCCAGAGCGGGCUGGUGCUUCUGAGAGCUUUUGUCCAGCUCCUGGUGACCCCCUCCCAGCCCUCUUCCCCUACAGGGGACCUCCCAGAAGGCACACUUGUAGGUCCAGCUGGAGCCAGUGACGCCAAAGAGGAUAGAGGAGAACUGAUCCAAGUUGGACCAGAGCAAGGAUGAUAAUGCCGAUGAAGCAUGAAGAAGACAUUGUUGUGCGUCCAAAUCCUUCUUAGGAAAAGUAUAUUUGGCUAAAAAGAGAAAUCCGCGGAGUGACGAGAGCCAGUAACGCAAGGCCUCCCGUUGCCCCUUGGGUUCCAUCUUCGACUGCCCUGCGGCCAUUCUCGCUGCACCCGCCACCGCUUCCUGACUUGUCAAGGUCACCGGCAAGCCUCACGCUGCCUCGUCUCAGGACCACGUCUCUGCCGGGAGG
Molecule: long non-coding RNA, 527 nt
Organism: Felis catus (domestic cat)
Lineage: Eukaryota; Metazoa; Chordata; Mammalia; Carnivora; Felidae
Exons: 3
Source: RefSeq, a predicted model, not a curated record